AACGAACGCUGGCGGCAUGCCUAACACAUGCAAGUCGAACGAGACCUUCGGGUCUAGUGGCGCACGGGUGCGUAACGCGUGGGAAUCUGCCCCUUGCUUCGGAAUAACAGUUAGAAAUGACUGCUAAUACCGGAUGAUGACUUCGGUCCAAAGAUUUAUCGGCAAGGGAUGAGCCCGCGUAGGAUUAGGUAGUUGGUGGGGUAAAGGCCUACCAAGCCGACGAUCCUUAGCUGGUCUGAGAGGAUGAUCAGCCACACUGGGACUGAGACACGGCCCAGACUCCUACGGGAGGCAGCAGUGGGGAAUAUUGGACAAUGGGCGCAAGCCUGAUCCAGCAAUGCCGCGUGAGUGAUGAAGGCCCUCGGGUCGUAAAGCUCUUUUACCAGGGAUGAUAAUGACAGUACCUGGAGAAUAAGCUCCGGCUAACUCCGUGCCAGCCGCCGCAGUAA
This 449-nucleotide ribosomal RNA is filed under the name uncultured bacterium. RNAcentral describes it as "partial 16S ribosomal RNA". It matches the Rfam family "Bacterial small subunit ribosomal RNA", at positions 29 to 523 of the family's 1533-position model. The record is from RNAcentral.